Molecule: ribosomal RNA, 651 nt
Filed under: Triticum aestivum (bread wheat)
Lineage: Eukaryota; Viridiplantae; Streptophyta; Magnoliopsida; Poales; Poaceae
Description: partial small subunit ribosomal RNA
Source: RNAcentral
AUGAUUAGGAAAACAAAUGGUGUACAAGAAGGUAGAAGUGAUGAGGUUCAAGAAGGUAGUGGAGUUAUCAAUGAUGACCCAGAGUACAGUCCUAAUGAUGGAGAAGAAGUGGAUGAUGUUGUAGUGAAUAGGACUGUUAAGAUGCAAACUCUGUCUUGCUUGAAGGAAGAAGAAGAGCUCAGAAACAUCUGCUGCAAUGCCUCCAGGAAGGGCGAUGGCCCCAGCUCCAGGACAAAAAAGAAGAUCCUGGAACCUGAUGAACCUACCCUUGAUAGAAUCACAAGGCAGAAAGCAAAGAUGGCGACUGCGACAGACCAUCAGGAAAGUCUGCUGCGCAUGGACUCUGAGACCUCAAUGCAAAUGGGUGAUGAGUUGACACACAUGGAUGAAGAUGCAAUGACUACCAAGACUAGACUUAGAAAGGGCAAAGGGCUAGAGAGGGUCACCAAGUCGCUUGGUAGCAAGGUGCCUAUCCAAAUUGCCGAAGGGAUGAAGUGUCCAGAGAAGCCUCUGCAGGCAGCAAAGCUUGCUUCUGAGUGUGGACUCGUCGCAAGAAGCCAUCUUUCGGUUCUUCCUCACUUCAAGCUAUACAAAAAAAUGCUAGUCUAUUGGAGAACUACAUUGGGAAAGUUGCUGCAAAUUUUGAGAUGA